UGUGAUGGUCUUUGCAGCUGGGGAUGGCCAGUAUCUACCCACUGGAGGAGGUAGCCUGCAGGAAGACGCCUCUCAGAGAGCUGCUGUCCUCUGCCUAGUGGCACACAGGGGGGAUUUCCAUUGCUCUUUUAAAGACAAAGAAACUGAGGUUCAAUAGAUUGGCUGAAGCUACAAAGGGACUGAGCCAAGGCUAGCUCAGGGUCUCCCUGCCUUGAACCAAGGAAAAGCCUCUGAGGCCUUCAGCUUCAGAAGGAAGCAGCGAGGCCUGGGCCACAGGGACAAGUUACCUCAGGAGGUGUCAGCCUGGACCACAGGGACAAGUUACCUCAGGAGGUGUCUGUCAUCCUGGACCACAGGGGCAAGUUACCUCAGGAGGUGUCAGCCUGGGCCACAGGGACAAAUUACCUCAGGGUGUGGCAGCCCACCUGGGUUUCCCUCAGGUCAGUGUGUGCAGGCACUUCCUCACAGUGUGUUCCUGGACAAGACAUACCACCUCUCUGGGUCUGAGGUCCCUCGAAAUAUAACGCCUCAUCUGUAGAAAGCAUGCCCACAUCCGUGGCUAUUCCGUAUCUUUUUCAUACACAAUUUCAGCGUAGUCUUACCACAGUCUUCCAAAGAAAACAUCAAGGAUGUCUAUUUUCUGUCAGUGCUGGGACUUGAACCCAGGACCUUCCUUUUGUUUUUUUUUUAAUAUUUUAUGUAUGUAUUAUUAUAUGUAAGUAUACUGUAGCUGUCUUUAGCUACUCCAGAAGAGGGAAUCAGAGAGAGAUGGUUGUGAGUCACCCUGUGGUUGCUGGGAUUUGAACUCAGGACCUUUGGAAGAGCAGUCAUUGCUCUUGACCGCUUGUCUCUCCAGCUCCUUUGUUUUGUUAAGAAAGGACACUACAAUUGAGCCACAUCCGCAGGCCUUGAGCCUAUGUUUUGAUUUGUUUUGUUUUGUUUGUUUUUGCUUUGCUUUGCUUUGCUUUGAUUUGAUUUUGUAAGACUAGCUCUCAAGUAGCUCAGGCUGGCCCCAACCUCACUGCAUAGCCAAGGAUGACUUAGAACUCCUAAUCCUCCUUCCUUUACUUGUUGAGCACUGAGAUUAUAAUUAUAUGCCACAGUGUCCAGUUGUGUGGGCUGCUGCGUUUAGAACCCACGGCCUCAUGCACGGUAGACAAGUGCUCUCUCUACCUGGGAGCCACCCAAGCCCUUAAGAAUGGCUUAGUCCACAGGGUCUGUUAUAAAAGGUUCCAUUACUCUGGGAUUCUCAGGGACCAGAGGCUCCAGCAGUCUCUGCUUCCCAGGGUUAAAGGAUUUAAUGGGUUGGUAAUUGCUGAGCCUUAAGGGCAAGAGGCAAUUUAUCAGCCCUGGCCAGCCUGGAAGGCCACUACUACUCACCCCUGCCUCUCUCUCUCCCUCCCUCCCUCCACUAUGACAUCACAGCCUGCCCAGGGAGAAAAAUCUGUCUCCAUGACUUGGCCUUGGAGUCUAGGGCUAGUGAGAACUAGAGGCCACCAGAGUGUCUGGUGGGUGACUCGGCAGACAAAGGGCUCUGUCUCCUGGCUGGCCUCACAUACAAUGCAAGGACCUAGGCAAGCUUUGUCCCAUCCAGCCUCUCCCUCAGCCAGAGACACCCAGAGCAUUCACACGCAUUCCACCCACCCAGAGGGCGUCGGAAAGGAGGCAGGGAGGAAGUGGGGACAGAAGGGCAGGGUCUCCACUCUCCGCUCUGCCACCAGUUAUGCCCACCUGUCACCUCUGCCCAGCCUCCACCCCACCCCCACCCCCUGACUGACCUGCAACCAUUUAGGAGCCCUUCAAAGCCAACUCAGCCCCACACACACACACACACUCUAGGAAUCCACGUCUGUGAGUUCAGUCCCUCCGUGUGUGGCAUCUGGUGCCUGGGUGUGACUCGGAGACUUCAGCCUCUCCUUUCCAGCUCUAUUCUUGCAAUAAGAGACCUGGAACUUGGGACCUUUCUGCCCCUCUCUCCUGCGUGCUGGAUUACAGAGAACUCCUGAAUAGCCUUCAAAACCCAAGUUGGGUAUGUUGGCCCAGGCCUAUCAUUCCAGCUACUCCAGAAGCUGAGGCAGGAAGAUCACAAAUUCAAGUAUAUCUGCAUGUGAGCGUGCUGUGUCCAUAGAUGGACUACGUGUGGAGGUCAGAGGUC
This is a long non-coding RNA of Mus musculus (house mouse), 2155 nucleotides long. RefSeq annotates it as predicted gene, 42316. NCBI's taxonomy places the organism in Eukaryota, Metazoa, Chordata, Mammalia, Rodentia, Muridae. The record is from RefSeq and is a predicted model, not a curated record. The transcript has 3 exons.